CUUGCUUCUCUUGAGAGCGGCGGACGGGUGAGUAAUGCCUAGGAAUCUGCCUGGUAGUGGGGGAUAACGUUCGGAAACGGACGCUAAUACCGCAUACGUCCUACGGGAGAAAGCAGGGGACCUUCGGGCCUUGCGCUAUCAGAUGAGCCUAGGUCGGAUUAGCUAGUUGGUGGGGUAAUGGCUCACCAAGGCGACGAUCCGUAACUGGUCUGAGAGGAUGAUCAGUCACACUGGAACUGAGACACGGUCCAGACUCCUACGGGAGGCAGCAGUGGGGAAUAUUGGACAAUGGGCGAAAGCCUGAUCCAGCCAUGCCGCGUGUGUGAAGAAGGUCUUCGGAUUGUAAAGCACUUUAAGUUGGGAGGAAGGGUUGUAGAUUAAUACUCUGCAAUUUUGACGUUACCGACAGAAUAAGCACCGGCUAACUCUGUGCCAGCAGCCGCGGUAAUACAGAGGGUGCAAGCGUUAAUCGGAAUUACUGGGCGUAAAGCGCGCGUAGGUGGUUUGUUAAGUUGGAUGUGAAAUCCCCGGGGCUCAACCUGGGAACUGCAUUCAAAACUGACUGACUAGAGUAUGGUAGAGGGUGGUGGAAUUUCCUGUGU
This 602-nucleotide ribosomal RNA is filed under the name uncultured bacterium. RNAcentral's name for it is "bacterial SSU rRNA". It matches the Rfam family "Bacterial small subunit ribosomal RNA", at positions 79 to 676 of the family's 1533-position model. The record is from RNAcentral.